Molecule: non-coding RNA, 106 nt
Filed under: Halorhodospira halophila
Lineage: Bacteria; Pseudomonadati; Pseudomonadota; Gammaproteobacteria; Chromatiales; Ectothiorhodospiraceae
Also listed under: 1 other name
Description: TPP sequence
Rfam family: TPP riboswitch aptamer (THI element)
About the family: Vitamin B(1) in its active form thiamin pyrophosphate (TPP) is an essential coenzyme that is synthesised by coupling of pyrimidine and thiazole moieties in bacteria. The previously detected thiamin-regulatory element, thi box was extended, resulting in a new, highly conserved RNA secondary structure, the THI element, which is widely distributed in eubacteria and also occurs in some archaea.
Source: RNAcentral
AGACGGAAGCGGGGGUGCCCGCCCGGCCACCGGGCCGGCGGGCUGAGAGAGUCCCUUGGAACCUGAUCCGGUUCGUACCGGCGUAGGGAGCUUCCGGGUGUACCGA